UGUCUCCUUUUUCCAACCAGUAAAACUAAUCUUCCCGUGAAGAAGCGGGAAUAUAAAUAUAAGACGAGAAGACCCCAUGGAGCUUAAAACCCAACUACACCCAGAAUUUUAUACCCACACCAACCGCUAGNCCUUGAAUAGUUGGUUUUAGGUUGGGGCGACCACGGAGUACAAUAAAACCUCCACAAUGAAUGGGACCACCCCCUAAUCUAAGAGCUACCCCUCUAAGAAUUAAAAUAUUAACAUAAAGUGAUCCAUCUCUUGAUCAAUGAACCAAGUUACCCUGGGGAUAACAGCGCAAUCCAUUUCGAGAGCCCAUAUCGACAAAUGGGUUUACGACCUCGAUGUUGGAUCAGGGUAUCACAGUGGUGCAGCAGCUACUAAUUGUUCGUUUGUUCAACGAUUAAAACNGU
RNAcentral lists this ribosomal RNA (413 nucleotides) under Mantidactylus biporus. Its description in RNAcentral is "partial large subunit ribosomal RNA". It matches the Rfam family "Bacterial large subunit ribosomal RNA", at positions 2017 to 2597 of the family's 2925-position model. Lineage: Eukaryota; Metazoa; Chordata; Amphibia; Anura; Mantellidae. The record is from RNAcentral.